GUGGAAACACUUCUGCACAAACU
This 23-nucleotide microRNA is filed under the name Loxodonta africana (African savanna elephant). RNAcentral describes it as "Laf-Mir-147-P5_5p* (star (passenger))". Lineage: Eukaryota; Metazoa; Chordata; Mammalia; Proboscidea; Elephantidae. RNAcentral also lists the same sequence under 1 other name. The record is from RNAcentral.